CCGACGUGGGCGCGCAUGCGCAGCUCUUACGCGCCGCUCUUCGUCGCCCGAACGGUGCGUGCUGGUCGUGCCCCGCCGCCUCACGGGGCGCACUGGUGUCUCCUGUCAGCUGAAGAGAAUGUCUGUGGUGCACCAGCUGUCACCAGGAUGGUUACUGGAUCAUCUUUCUUUCAUUAACAAGAUAAACUAUGAACUUCAUCAGCCUUAUUACAGUAAAAAUGAGCCUAUUUCUUCUGUUCACCUUGAUUCUCUUCGCAUGGAUUCUGUGUCCUCUCUUGGAGCCUCUGCUACAUUUAGUGCUUCUACUACUAAGCCAGAGGAUGAUGAUGGAGGAAACUUUGAAAUGUUCAUUCAAAGAUAUGUUUUUCGAUCUGAACUGUUUAAUGUCACCAAACCUUAUAUAACUUCUGUUAUUCACAAAGAAUGCGAACAAAGUAAUGAAAAGGAAGAUCUAGUAAAUGAUGUUAAAAAAGAAAUCUCCAUUUCUGUUACUGGGAAGAAACGGAAAAGAUGUGUUGUUUUCAAUCAAGGUGAAUUGGAUGCUAUGGAAUACCAUACAAAGAUCAGGGGGCUAAUUUUGGAUGGAUCCUCACAGUUAAUCCAAGAAGGUUUCAAAAGUGGCUUUCUUCAUCCACUUUCUGAAAAACAGGACAAGUGUAGUGAGCCCGUUAAAUUACCACUUGAUACCUGCAGUUUGUCAGAAUUAUGUGAAAUGGCAAAGCGUUUGCCUUCUCUGAAUGAAUUGGAACUUCAGACAUUACAAUUGACAGAAGAUGAUAUAUCUGUUACAGAGCAGGAUUUAUUUUCACGGGUUGUUGAGAACAACUCUAGCUUUACAAAAAUGAUGACUUUAAUGGGACAGAAAUACCUGCUGCCACCAAAAAGCAGUUUUCUUUUGUCUGACAUUUCUUGUAUGCAGCCGCUUCUGAACUGUAGGAAAACAUAUGAUGUAAUUGUGAUAGAUCCACCAUGGCAGAACAAGUCAGUUAAAAGAAGUAACAGAUACAGUUAUUUAUCACCACUGCAAAUAAAGCAGAUACCUAUCCCUAAACUGGCUGCUCCAAACUGUCUUGUUGUUACUUGGGUGACCAAUAGACAGAAGCACCUACGUUUUGUAAAGGAAGAGCUUUACCCUUCUUGGUCUGUGGAGAUAGUUGCUGAAUGGCACUGGGUAAAAAUCACCAGUUCUGGAGAGUUUGUGUUCCCAUUAGAUUCUCCACACAAAAAGCCUUAUGAAGGUCUUAUACUGGGAAGAGUUCGAGAGAAAGAUGCUUUACUAUUAAGGAAUGCAGAUGUAAAAGAGCUCCGGAUUCCAGAUCACAAGUUAAUUGUCAGUGUGCCCUGUACGCUUCACUCACAUAAGCCACCUCUUGCUGGGACAGUGAAUGACCUUCCUGACUGGCUGGUAUGUAAGGAGGACCCUGGACGUGAAUGGCUUCAUCCCUUCUCUUUGCUUCUUUUGGGUCUACCUGCCUGUGGAGAGGAUGAAGAAUUACCUCCAUUGUUCCAAAUGCCCUACUUCUGUUCGCAAGAAUCAUGAUAAGAGUACAUGCCCCAUCACUUCUGGGAAAAAUGGACAUUCCUUGGACAUCAAAGGAAGUGGAAUGGUGAUUCAUAUGUGACAUGUCAUCAGGCCAAAGCGUGUAUCCUCCUAAGUGGAAAUCACUUCUGAUAACAAAGUCACAUCAGUUUAUCCAGAAGGAUCCCUUAGAAGGUGUUGUGGGCGUACGUGAAAAUUACAUUAUAACGCUGGAGAAAAUUUCCUGCCAAAUGAUUCACUGACAGGUGGCAGAUCAGCGCGAGUCUGUCACAUACAUUUUAAUAACAGAUGUGAAAAAUGAGGCAAAGAGAAGCAGAGUAAUUUGGCCACAUUUACACAGUGAGCGGCAGAGAGAGGAUUUGGUUUCCAGGCUGUGAACUCUUGAGCACUAUGCUUCGUGGCCUCCAGUUUAAAAAAUCAGCCUGGACCCAGCUGCUCUUUCACUAAAACCUGCCAGAGGAGUCAUCCUGGAGCCUCUUCUCUUGAUGCCUUUGUUCCCUUUCUUUGAAUUACAUGACUCUGUCACAUACACCGUUCUGCUGUGGACCUGCGGUGUCUGAGGAACUUAAUGGUUAGGACAAAGGAUUGUUUUCUUUUUUUGUUUUUUUCCUUCCCCCUCCCCUUUGUUUUCUAAAAUGAUUGCCAAGCAAGAAUAGCUAUAUUUUAGGAAUAAGGGAGAAUUAAUGAAAAAAUUAUCAUUAACCACAUAGGCCAAAGGGGGCUAACACAUGAGGGUACGCAAGGUCCCAGCAUCGUCUAUCAUGACUGGCAAGCAAUUGGUGUGACCGACGGGGGAAGAGAAAACGCUAUGAUAGCAAAUGGAACUUUUCCCAUGGUAAGUUUUCAACUAUAAAAAUAAGAAAAAUUAAGAAAAUGCUAUAUAUGUCACUAAAAUCUGGAUAUAUUUUACUAAAAUUUUGUAUCAUAAAAUAAUUGCAGCCUAAGUAAAAUGUAUGCAUAAUUCUUCAUUCAGUUACCAAAUGCCUAAGAAUGCCUGGUAUGUGUUAGAAAUUGUCUUUGAUAUGGAGUGUUAAGUGCUGAGGUAGUGGACACAGCCUCUGACCUUACAGAGCUUAGAGCAGAGCUGUAUUUGAGAUUGUUGAUUUCUAUGCCUUUGUCAGUAUUUAGGUUUCCACAGUUGUAUGUCUAAAGACACCCGGAGGCUAAGAUUUAAAGGGAACAUUGACCUACGUCCAAUUUCCCUAUGUGAUUUUUUUCAAUAGUAUCUUUGUAAUCCCCCUCCACAUUAAGAGGGAUUUUUCUUUGUAUUGUUCAUUAGAGUGUUUCUUCCGGAUCUAAGAAAUUAGAAAAAAGGAAUCUGCAGAAAGAAGGGAUAAGAAAAACCCAGUCAUCUUUACUCUGGACUUCAUAUCAAGAUCGGUGAGCCCUGCCUUCAGGUUGGAGAGGCAACCCUAACCAGAGAAAGCAGUGUGUCCGGAGGUUCAGCGAAGACACCCUUUGAAGACUCGUGGGCGUUGGAGUUGCUGCGACCGGUCAGGUAGGGCAGAUGUGCUCUUGCAGGUAUUUGAACUGACCCUGAGUAUCAAGAUUCUCAAAUUCAAAGUCCUCUCAAACUCAGUAUUUAAUCCCACAGGUUUGCAGGCAGACUGCAUGUCCUCUAAGCAGCAUCCUGAAUCCCUGCUUAGAAGUGGAACCCGGACUUGCCGUCCAGCCUUCCUGAGAGCCUAGUCCUUCCACCAAGAAUGUAACCACCUCCUGAGAAAAUAAGGCUGGAUUCUCAGCCUCACCCUUCCCAGCCCUGACCCCUCAGGCCUUAGGGUGCGGGAGGCCUGCCGGCACCGGGCAGCGUGCCAGUGGACGAGAAUGGCUGCCUGACUCACAGAAUCACCAUUACACCCCUUCCCUCGCUGUGUUCUGCCUGCUGGCUCUCCUCUCUACAGGGUAACGCUCUCUAGGACCAGGUGUGCGCUCGGCUAGUUCUUUGAAUGCUGUGAACUACUGCAUCUCGAACUUUAGUGUACAGGCAAAUCCAGUGGGCGUUACGUUUGUUAAAAUGCAGAUGUAAUUCUUUCCGGCCUGUGGGGGGCGGGGGCAGGGGAUGAGAUUGCUGCGUGUCUGACAUGCACUCGGUUAACAACUGUGCUGCUUGUCCAUGGACCAGACCAGUAAUGGUAGCACGUUAGACGGUCCGAUUGUCCUCUGCAGCCGAACACCUAGCACCCACCUCAGAUGCCUCCGCCCUCCCAACGUCUUGGAGAUGUGGAGCUGAGUACCCGGCCUCACGGCAGCGACAGAACCAAGAUUUGACAUACAAGUGAUAUCAUAUGGUAACGCUGCAUCCAAGAGUUCCCACCCCCCCCCUUUGGAAGCACCACAGCAUUGCCGAGAGGCUGCAGAGGGCGGGUGAAGUGUCCACCUUGGACUCCUAUGCAUCCUGGCCGGGGCUGAGCUUCUCUGGAGCCUCAUUACAUGUGGACAGUAGGUGUAACUCACCAGCCCCCAUCAAAUGGAAGAGGAAUCAAAGGAGGCCUUUGCCCGGUGGAGCAUGUCCUCUCCAGGGCUGGCCCCAGCUUCCCACCCGCUCCCAGGGCGCCUGCAAG
Non-coding RNA from Vicugna pacos (alpaca), 4101 nucleotides. The record is from RefSeq and is a predicted model, not a curated record. Lineage: Eukaryota; Metazoa; Chordata; Mammalia; Artiodactyla; Camelidae.